UUUAUAGAUAGAGCCACACAGCUGAAACCCAUCAAACACUCCUUCAUACUGCUACACCUGCUUGUUGUACAUCCUACACUGCUGUUUGUUGUAUUCCACCUCUUAUUCGUCAGUCAUGAGGCAACGUCAAGUUCCUUGGUUACUGAUUGGCUGGGGGGCGGGAGAAGAACAACAGAGACGCAAGGGUGUCCGGAGCAGUUCAACAGUUUCCCCUGGUACACUGUCUCUCCACCUGAUUACAGGAACGAUACUGCUGUAAAUGCACUAUGGUAAGAGUCAUACUGAAGUUAUGAAUCACACUGUAUUGUAGACAUUGCUAUUUUAAAUUAAAUGCACUGCGUUCAGAUUGUCAAAAUGUAGUGUGCGUUUUCGGCAAAGCUAACAAACAAGCUAAGCUACCACCGAGCUAGCGGCUGUGUAUCCAGGACUCCAGCAGGGUUGGGCUCACAUUCAGCUGUCACGCCACUGGAAGCCAUCAGUCCCUACAGCUGGCGAGAGGAAAUCAGACAGCGCACUAUCAAGAAUGGACAUGGACAUGGACAUCAACAGACAUCAAGUGCUGGCAGGACAAAUCUCGAAGAGCCAUACGAAAGCAAAGCUGUAGGAAGAUUUUGACUAUGUCCUCGCUACAAUCUGGUGAGGGGCAGCGCAUCUCCUGCAGGUUCGACACACACUGUAAUGUAUACAAUACCACACCACCAUGCCUAAGUUGUCAGCCACAGGGUUCUGUACUUGUACUAUGUGUCAUUAUUUUUCAGCGGUACUUUUUUCACUCACACCGUCGCCACUACUGUCGCAUGUGCACUGAAAGCUGAAAUGUGUUAAUCUAACAAUUAUAGGCUUUUACUUUAAAAGUGGAAUUGUCAAAUCAGACCUGUUACAGUACACUGGUUACACAUGUACGUAUGGUACAUGUGUUUUGGAGGCUGACUUUGCUUUUUAGUUUUUUCCCUCUACAGGUUUUGCUGUGGAGUAUCUGUUCAGGGCCAAGUUGAGUGUGACCACAAGACUGAUGGGUCUUGUGAUGUGUGCUACGUUUGUUUCUGUGAUGAACAAACAUCUAACACUC
Molecule: long non-coding RNA, 1069 nt
Organism: Acanthopagrus latus (yellowfin seabream)
Lineage: Eukaryota; Metazoa; Chordata; Actinopteri; Spariformes; Sparidae
Exons: 3
Source: RefSeq, a predicted model, not a curated record